GGGUACUGAUGUCAUAUGGUUGGAUACGUAACACCGGACUGGGAACGAUGCUCAGGUAUUGUGAUAGAGUUAUUCAUGAUAGGAUAACGGAGAAAGAUGGCUCAGAGUGGAAGUCGAAAAUUGAGAAGUUGCUUGUGGCUGGAUACAGUGGUGGUUCCAUAGUUGAAAACCCUGUGGACCACAAUGUUGCUCGGAAUGACCCUGAAAUCAAGUCAGAACUAGAGUAAAACCUAGAUUUACUUGUCAAAAAUCUUGUAAAUGUCCAUCUCUUUUGUACAUACUUGAGUAGCUGGCUGUCUAAACUUAGUUUGGUUGUAAAAAAGGAUUCA
This 329-nucleotide unclassified non-coding RNA is filed under the name Hevea brasiliensis (rubber tree). The record is from RNAcentral. Lineage: Eukaryota; Viridiplantae; Streptophyta; Magnoliopsida; Malpighiales; Euphorbiaceae.